GCAGUGGGGAAUCUUGGACAAUGGGGGCAAGCCUGAUCCAGCCAUGCCGCGUGAGUGAUGAAGGCCUUAGGGUCGUAAAGCUCUUUCGCCUGGGAAGAUAAUGACGGUACCWGGUAAAGAAACCCCGGCUAACUCCGUGCCAGCAGCCGCGGUAAUACGGAGGGGGUUAGCGUUGUUCGGAAUUACUGGGCGUAAAGCGCACGUAGGCGGAUUAKUAAGUYAGRGGUGAAAUCCCGGGGCUCAACCCCGGAACUGCCUUURAUACUGSUAGUCUUGAGUUCGAGAGAGGUGAGUGGAAUUCCGAGUGUAGAGGUGAAAUUCGUAGAUAUUCGGAGGAACACCAGUGGCGAAGGCGGCUCACUGGCUCGAUACUGACGCUGAGGUGCGAAAGUGUGGGGAGCAAACAGG
RNAcentral lists this ribosomal RNA (408 nucleotides) under uncultured Pseudoruegeria sp. RNAcentral's name for it is "bacterial SSU rRNA". It matches the Rfam family "Bacterial small subunit ribosomal RNA", at positions 351 to 776 of the family's 1533-position model. Lineage: Bacteria; Pseudomonadati; Pseudomonadota; Alphaproteobacteria; Rhodobacterales; Roseobacteraceae. The record is from RNAcentral.